GGGGUGGCUACGUGCCCUACGUGUCUAAGCUUGGACAAGGGGAGGGGGUCCUUGAAGAGCAGAAAGGGGUGGCUACGUGCCCUACGUGCCUCGCGGUUUCUUUGUUAAGCUUGAACAAGCACAGGGGAGGGGGCUUAUGUGUGUACCAGGAUGUUCUGUCGCCCUUAUCUCUGGGUAGUAGCUAUCUGCUUUCUCUGUGAACUUAGUUUACUCCCCAUUUCCCAGGACUGUUUCUGGAAUUGCUUGUCUCAAUUUCUGUUUUUGUUUGUUUGUUUGUUUGUUUGUUUUUUAUUUUAUUAAGGCCAUUUUAUGGCGGCUCUCGGCCACUCCUUUCACCGUCCACGCUACGUGGUAAUCGAAUUGCCCAGUAGAGUUUCACCUGUUUUUGGUGACCUACAGAUUUUAAACUUAUAUUUUAUUCUUCAUUUGACUUUUCUCUUUGUGAACAAAGAGGUAAUCAUAAUAAUAAUUAGCAGUAUCGCGGCACUGAGGAAAACAGCCAUUGGGUGGGCUGGUCUGUCCAGGACCUAAGCUGACAGAACAGAGCUCUAAAACAACAUAGGGAGCCGGCGCUGUGGCGUACUGGGCUAAGCCUCCGCCUGUGGCACCAGCAUCCCAUGUGGGCGCCGGUUCAUGUCCCGGCUGCUCCUCUUCCAAUCCAGCUCUCUGCUUAUGGCCUGGGAAAGCAGGGGAAGAUGGCCCAAGUCCUUGGGCCUCUGCACCUGCCUGGGAGACCUGGAAGAAGCUCCUCGCUUCAGUCGGGCCCAGCUGUUGCGGCCAUUUGGGGAGUAAACCCGUGAAUGGAAAACCUUUCUCUCUGUCUCUCCCUCUCUCUGUCUAUAACUCUACAUUUCAAAUAAAUAAAAUAAAAUCUUUAUAUAAAAAAACAACUGAACUCCUGCAAGAGUUACGGUUUCAGUUUAGCUAAAUCUCUGGAGCCCCAGUUUAAAAGUUCUUGUGCCUUCACCCCUAUAACAGAAGUGUCUGGGCUGCAACGUUAGAAGGCACAGAAUAAAGCUCUCCAGGACAGAGUGUCGGAUCCGCAAUCAUAUUUUUGAUGAGCGCUGCUUCUCAAUAGUAGAGAAUGACUUCUAGGGUCCUCUGGAGAGGGUGCCAAAGCCCCCUGGGGACUGUUGAUGCUACACACUUUUGUCUUGUAAAUGUAACGCCCUUGGAAAAGAUAAGAAAAUGCCAGGGGCUGUGGCAGCUGGGUCUGAAAGCUGUCUGCUUGCACUUCCCGGGGCUCCACUGGCUGGUGUCCUGCGCUUCUCCAAAGUCAUCUUACUCUUGUCUGCGAAACAAUUAGUUACCUGGAGAAAAUGCCUUCCGCUAGCGUGUGCACACGCUCCUCUUGCGCUGGCCUGUCGAUCAGAAGUGAGGGGAGUGAAUUAUCACCCACGGUGGGGGAUGGACCCUCCCACCCAGGACAAGCGUGGCUUCCCACUAACACCAAACACACAGGGUCCCCUACAGCCCCGUGCCAUCAAUGGGGUUUCCUAUCUCGAACACUCUCCUGUCAAGGUCCUUGGACAGUGACAACAAACCGCCCAGUGUCACCCGAGAGCUCUUUGCCGUUGUUACCAAGGAGACGGAGAAACUCCCACACGCAGAGUAAGUGUUAACGUCACGGCUGUGCCAGCUCUGACAAGGUGUGGGGCAGCUCCGGGAGAUCCUCUGCAGCCGCCGGUGCUGUCACCCAGACGACCUCCCCCACGUUUCACGCUCAGCCGAGGCCCCGCCCACACACAGGCCAGCUUCUAACUCCCUGCCUAAGGCUGUUGCGUAAUCAGGAAGGAGACUUGUAAAAGUAAAGAUACUGACCACCACGGAGCCUCUGCCCAUGCCCGCGGCUUCUGCAUCGUCUCUAAUUGUCCGAAGCUGAAGACCAGGCUGGUUAAGAACGUGUCGGCAGCACCAGAAAGCCAAGGUCCACCUCUCUCUGAAAGGCCCCGAGUCCCGCCACGCUCCCCAGACGCAGCUGUGGCUGCGAACAGAGGCUGAGCUUGAACAGAAAGACCCUCAUUAGACACACAGAAGAGCAGAGUGGGAAGGGGGCUUAGGGAGAACCCCCUACAUGGAGGAGAAAACCGCUGCCUGAAGGGGGCGUCGCCAAGUCCAAGGUCGCAGAGCCGGGGGGGCCCCUGAGCAGGGAGCCGCUUCUUCCUCCUGGCUUCCCUGGCUGCCUGCGGCUUCUUCCUCCCACGCUGCCCCCUCACGCUCCAGCCACACACCUGCCACAAGGGGGCAGUUCUGAGUGGGCGUGUGCAGCCCGGCGCAGAGGGGCAGCGGCAGGUUUUGAAUCUCGUGGCUUGUUUUUUUUCCACUUUCCUUGGGACUCUGCGAAUCCUAAGCGGACGGCAGUUGGGAGCCGUGCCAGCAGCUCGUUAGGCCGUGCUGUUCAGGGGAGGUGACGUGGGGUCCUCAGACAGACGGCGCGGGCAGCGAACUUCUCAUGGCGCGGGCAGCGAACUUCUCAUGGCAGUCAGUUGAGGAAGAGCAACACGGAGCCAGAACCUCCGUGUUUGGCUGAGCACCAGGCUCGGAGGGCUGCCAGCUAGGCAGAGACCUCUGGCCUGGAGACAGACGGGACCCUCGCUGCUGGCCUGGCCCUGCAGAACCCAGGGAGGUGCAGGGACCCUGCAGCCUCAGACGGGAGCACUUUCAGCAGCCGUUCUGUCGAAAGGAGAAAGGCUCACCUGUCCCCCUGGGCAGGGCUUCCGGCACCCAUCGGCUUAUUGGGUCAGAGCCCUGGGCUGGCUUCUGGGAUGUGUUGUUCCUUUCCUUUGGGGUUUCGUUUGUUUUGUUCUGAGGAUGUCUUGAGCUCGCAUAUUGUGCCCCGAGCAAGCGCAGGAGGGGACGGGUGUGACAAGGGGGUCCCCACCAUUGUCUGUUCUUCCUCCUGUGACCAGUUGUCUGCUCCCACGGUAGCAAGGUGACCCCCGCGGCCCCAGGCCGCACACCCAGCCUGCUGGAAAACUGUUGGCUCUAGCGAUCUUCUUGCCUACACACCUCCACACGCGAACGAUUACUCUCCUACUGGAGGGGUUUCCAAACGCGUGCGCACUUAGUGGUUGCAUCAGCGAGCUCCUGCUGCAUCACUCGCCACUGCAAGUAUAGAUCUGACUCGCUCUUCGGUCAGCGGGGCGUUUCUGGGCCUGCUGGAGCGUCUACGACCCGCUGGCACCUGGCCGGUGCCGGCUGCUCUGGGAGAGUCGGGAUGGAUGAAGGCGACCUCUGUCCACGCGGCUCUGACGUCCCUCCAGCAGGUCGGCCGGAGCGCGCUAUGUGUGGGAGGUGGCGCCGAGGCUGGCAAAGGCCGGGUGGAGCCACCUGGUUGCUUUGCUUCCUCCUGUGCCACAUCCCGGAGGCCGCGGCGGGCGGCCUGGCCAGACCCCGAGGGGGACGUGGGGGCUUCAGCAUCUACUGCGGGAGUAGAUGCGAGGAGGCCUGGUUCUAGCCUGAAAAUCUAAAAAAAGUACUUUUCAUUAUUUCUAGUUCUCUUCCAUACUCAGCUCCAGUGUGUGUGGCUGGACACGUUUUCACGUAUCUGCCAUUGGUUCUCUCACACACGAUUUACUGUUGGUGUUUACUCACGGGGAGCUCAUAAAGGUACCAGCUCUAGUUUUGGCUAUUUGGACAGAAGGUUGUGGAGGAACUAUGUGUGAAAUGCGUUUGUAUUUUCUUGCAAAAGAAGACAAUUUGACUUUUUCUUUGAUGAAAGUUUAUGAAUGACAGAAAUCCAAGUAUCUGCAUUAAAACCUCCGAUAGGAACUCCUUGCUCAAGAUACGCUGAGCCCCUGUUUGGGUCUUCAGAGUCAUUUUCAUGCUGUUCGUAAUGACAUGUUUGCAGGGAUUUCAAUUUUCUUUGCACUAAAAUGAGUAUCUUUUAACUUCAUUUUCCAUAAAGUUUUUGAGGUACCCUCACACUUGGAUGACUUUCUUAAAAUUCCUAACAUCAGGCCAGCGUUAUAGGGCAGCAGGUUAAGCUACUGCCUGCUUCCCAUGUCAAAGUGCCGGUUCAAGUCCUGGCCACUCCACUUCCAGCUCCCUGCUAAUGGCCUGGGAAGGCAGUGGAAGAUGGUCCAAGUGCUUGGGCCCCUGCACCCAUGUGGCAGACCUGGGUGGAGUUCCUGGCUCCUGGCUUCAGCUUGGCCCAGCCUUGGAUGUUGCAAGCAUUUGGGAAGUGAAACAGUAGAUGGAAGACUUUCUGUCUCUCCCUCUCUCUGUCACUCCACCUUUCAAAUAAAUGAACAAAUCUUUAAAAAUAAAUAAAACCCCUAACACAUGGAUUUAUUUUAUGAGAAUCUGGUUUGUUUGUUUUCUACUUUCUCUCUCUCUCUCUCUCUCUCUCUCUUUGACAGGCAGAGUUAGACAGUGAGAGAGACAGAGAGAAAGGUCUUCCUUCCGUUGGUUCAGCCCCCAAACGGCCGCUAGGGCCGGCGCGCUAUGCCCAUCCGAAGCCAGGAGCCAGGUGCUUCUUCCUGGUCUCCCAUGUGGGUGCAGGGCCCAAGCACUUGGGCCAUCCUUCACUGCCUUCCUGGGCCACAGCAGAGAGCUGGCCUGGAAGAGAAGCAACCGGGACACAAUCCGGCACCCCAGCUGGGACUAGAACCCGUGGUGUAGACGCCGCAGGCAGAGCAUUAGCCUAGUGAGCCAUGGUGCCAGCCUCUACUUUCUCUUAAGAUUUAUUUAUUUGAAAGGCAGAAUUACAGAGAGAGAGAGAGAGAGAGAGAGAGAGAGAGAGAAUCUUCUGUCUGUUGGUUCACUUCCCAGGUGUAGUUGGUUCACUCCACAAUGGCUGGGGCUGAGCCAGGCUGAAGCCAGGAGCUCUGUCCAGCUCUCCCAUGUGAGCAGUAGGAACCUAAACACUUGGGCCAUCUUCUGCUGCUUUUCCAGACAUUAGCAAGGGAGUUGGAUCAGAUGUAGAGCAGCCAGGACUCAAACUGCCACCCAUAAAGGAUGCUGGCACUGCAGGCUGGGGCGUUAACCUACUGCUCCACAGUGCCAGCCCCAGUGGAAAGUCACUCCCAGUCUCUAGCAAGGCUCUUCCUCCAGUGGCCUGGGUCGAGCAGGAUCCUCACCCUCGGGGAAGGAAACCAGGCUGGCCAGCGAGCAGGUGCAUCCUCAGGGCCACUACUUUCUUCCCCAAGUAGGUACAAGGUCAUGCCCCGGAGUCUGCCUGGAAUGCCAUCCAGCCGACAGCAGGCCCUCUGAGCUCCUGCUGGGGCAGUCCUCAUCUCUGGAUUACCUCACCCAGGUUACCCAAGGUCAGUCCAAAUUCUGUGGCUUGCAAGGCAUCCACCAGCUGCCUGCUCUCAGCAUCGUCCGCCCCUGUUUAUUGGUUAUCAAUCCCUGUAGAACAAAUCGUCACAACCUAGGCAGCUUAGAAACAGUCCACUCUAUCGUGUCCAGCUUCCUGGGGCUCGGAGUCCCGUGAGGCUUUGCUCGCUCCUCUGCUUCGGGUCUCACAAGGUGGCAAUCAGGGUGCACAUGGGGGCUGCAGUCUUAUCCGGACGCUCGACUGGAGAAGGAUCUGCUUCCUUGUGCCAGCUGUACCCGAUGGGCUUCCUGUUCUCUGGCUGCUGGUUGGAGGCCACCACGCGCCUGGCCCUGGGGGUUUCCCCACUGGCUCCUGGCUUCCUCGAAGCCGGUGAAGGAGUGAGGAGCUCCAGCCCGACAGGUACGAUCACGCACAUACACACAUCCCACACCUCCUGUCGCCUCUGUCCCCAGUUCUGUGGGUUCGAAGCAGGUCACUCUCAGCCCCAAGGGCUGUAAACUCCGGGAGGCCCUGGUGUUAGAAGCUGUGUUCCACAAGGCACAAUUUGUAUGGCAGCCACCAGGGCUCCUAGCAGCUCCCGGGACUGGCCAAGCACCGCCUGCUACGCUGCCUGUGUGCACGCUGUUCCCCCGCCGCCUGCUACGCUGCCUGUGUGCACGCUGUUCCCCCGCCGCCUGCUACGCUGCCUGUGUGCACGCUGUUCCCCCGCCGCCUGCUACGCUGCCUCUGUGCACACUGUUCCCCCGCCGCCUGCUACGCUGCCUGUGUGCACGCUGUUCCCCCGCCGCCUGCUAUGCUGCCUCUGUGCACGCUGUUCCCCCGCCGCCUGCUACGCUGCCUGUGUGCACGCUGUUCCCCCGCCUGGGGUUCCACAGCCUUGCCCCUGCCCACUGCAUCCUCAGGCCUCGCUUAGCUGUCUUCCUUUGAACUCUUGUCCGCAGCACCCAAAUCUGCACGGGUUUCUUCUAAUGCUUAUCGGCCUGCAUGGUAUUUUUUCUGUUUCCUUGUCAGUCCCCCUCACCCUCACCCAUGCCGGGGUUUGGAGUGGAAUGUCCCCAGCAUCCCCGGAGCCUGGUGUGUUGCGGCUGAGUGCGUGAACAAGAGAGACAACAGGCCCUGUCUUGGAGCCCAGGCCGCAGGGGCUGGCUGGUGGCGCGUCUCCCAGGAGCCCCAUUGUCCCCCCAGGAACCACGCUAGUACCGUCUGCCUUGCCCUGACUUUGAAAUAACUUCUGCCCUGCAAGUCUCAAGUGUACUUUCUUGGAACCUGUCUCGCUGUUCUCUGCCUUCCUCCUCCCCACGCCUGUAACUCCGUGGCCUGCCAAAAACUGGGAGCUUAUUAUGAAACCAGGAGGUGCCUUCUAUUAUCCCCGAGACCACGGAUGGAAAAUAUUAGCUUCUAUCUCAACUGAGGGCGGACAUGGCAAAGGCUCCUUGAGAUGUUAACUGUCAAGGAGAGGAGUCAGAGUGUUUCAUCUGCAUGAGUAAUUGUUUCCGAUGCUACCCAGAGAGACGCCAGAUUUAUAUCCCAGACACACGCUCCCCGGGCUAGGAGCGGCUGCCGCUGCAGAGUCGAGUCACGGACUGCCUCUGCCUUGUCUUCCUUCCCUUCUUGGAGCUGGUCAGAGCAGGAGUCGGGGGCGGGGGUAAGGGUGGAGGUGAAGGGGCAGAGGGCUCCGGGUGCCCACGCUGGGAGGAGUGGGCUCGGGAAGGUGCUGGGCGGAAGUGGAAGCCGGGCCCGGCCGGGUCCCGGUGGUCCGGAAGGCUGGCAAAGCCCAUGCAGGAGGCACAGGCUCAGCUCUGUUCCUCUUCCCUUCGCAGCCCUCCUCAAUCCACUGCCAGCCCUGGCAGCUUUGCCCGUGAGAUGCACCACGGCGCCAGCUCCUCCUCCUCCUCGCCUGCCCCUGCCCUCCGUCCAGGCCUGGGCGACGGCCUCCCUGUGGUCUUACCCGGGGCUUCCUAAGGACACCAGCCUGAGCGUUUUAUUCAGCGCUGACUUGAGAGCCUCUUUGGUUUUUUUCACAGCCCUUGGAAUGAAACCUCGGCCUGUGGGGCCCCGUCCCACUCUCCUCUUCUCGGCUAAGAUGGCUCUCUGCAUGCCAGCGUUUCCGUUCCUUGAACCCCCCAGGCUUGUCCUGCUGCUCUGUCUGUCUCUGGAACACAUGUGCUCCGGGGCUGGCAUUGUGCUGGAGCAGGUUAAGCCUCUGCCUGCAGUGCUGGCAUCCCGUAUGGGCACUGAUUCCUGUCCCGGCCGCUCCACUUCUGAUCCAGCUCCCUGCUAAUGGCCUGGAAAAACAGCAGAAGAUGGCUCAAGCGCUUGGGCCCCUGCACCUGACCUGGGUGAAGCUCCUGGCUCCUGGCUUCAGCCUGGUCCAGCCCCGACGUUGUGGCCAUUGCCACAUAUAUUCCAUAUAUACACGGAAGAAAACAGGAGCUCCCCACCCCCUCGCAUGGCCAGCUCCUUCCCAGUACUCAGGCCUCUUUGCUCCAAUGCCCCCUCUUACGAGGAGUCUUCCUGGACCACACACGGUCUGCUGCAGGCUUCCCUCCGUCACCCUCCAGCCUGUUACUGUCCUGCACUUGUUGAUUUCAUUGACCAUCUGCUCCUCCCACCGGUGUAGACAUCCACAAAGCUUGGUGGCAGUGGGGGGAGCCUGUCUCACUCACCGUUGGACUGGCAGCCUCCGGGAUCACGUCCAGUGUGGGGCAGGAGCCUGCCAACAUCUCCCGAAUGAAGAAAUGAAAGCCAGGUGCUGGAAGGCGGGAGGGAGAGCCAGCAAGGCGGCCACGGUCCCCUGGCAGGGGCAGGACUACCGCCGUCUGGGAACGGCCGAUGCACGCGCGGUCAAUACCGAAGACGACAGGAGCAACCGCUGCCACUAUGCUUGCGUUGUAAUCUCUGAAGUCGUCCAGGGUGCUUGCUAUCAGCGCAGGGCGGUUACAAAUCACUCCGACAAGGAGAACUGGCGGAGGAUACGCGGAGUGACUCAGUGCCAGAGAGGCCCCGAGGACGAGGGCGAGGAGGAGGAAGAAAACCAGGCAAAACCAAGCCAAACCCUGGGCGCUCACAGCCCGAGUGCGCAGACGCGCAAACUCCUGCAUUCCCAGCGCUGGCCGCACUCUGCAGCCUCAUGCAGUUACGUGUGUCAGAAGUCUGCAUGACUUACCUAUUAUCUUUUUCCUACUUUAGUCUUUAGAUUUUUAUUUACUUGGAAGACAGAGAGGUCUGCAAUCAUCUGGUUCAUUCCCCAAACACCUGCGACAGGCAAGACUGGGCCAGGCUGAAGACAGGAGUUAGGAACUCAAUCCAGAUUGCCCAAGUAUCUGAACUCUCAAUGUGCCUCCCAAGUCCUCAUCAGUAGGAAGCUGGAACAGAGAACAGAGCACUCUGAUAUAGGAUGCGAGUGUCCAAGUGGUGGCCCAUCCCGGAUUUGUAUCUUGAAAAGAGAUAAAGAUGGAGAUAGGUGUUUGGCCUAGAGGGAAAGUCCUUGGUUGGGGCACACGCAUCCCAUUUUACAGUGCCUGGGUUUGAGGCCCUGUUCCACUCCUCUUCCCAGCUGCCUGCUGAGUGCCCUAGGAGGAAGCAGAUGACAGAUCAAUUCCUUUGGUCCCAGUCAUCCACGUGGGAGACCUGGAUUGACUUUUCCAGGCUCUUGGCUUCCACUUGGCCCAUCCCUGGCCACUGGGCACAUUUGGGGAGUCACUGGUAAAUAGGAACUCACUCUGUUUCUCACUCUGUCUCUCAAAUCAGUAAUAAAAGCAAAUUUAAAAAAUAAACUUCAUUUGUUAAAAAAAAAAAAAAAGAUGGACCCAUACCCAACAGAAAAAUCUCUGGGUCCUUGAGUAUCAGGAAUCUGGGGAGGGUGAAAACCCAAAGGAGGAUCUGAGCGUAGCAACAGGUCAUCUGGUCGGGGCCUUUCAUUCUGACCCAUCGUGCAGUGAACGUGCUUGAUCCAGAAGGUUCUACAGAUAUUCCAGGCAGUGUUUCUGCACUGGAUAAACUGGGUCUGAGCGAUUACGUCGUAGUUUAAGUACAGUUCAUUCUUUUCCUAAAUGAAAGUCUCUAUUUCUGAUUUAUCUCCUUCCUAAGAGGGUGGAGGGAGAGUCUUCUGUUCCCCCACCACCUUGCAUAAAGGUCAUGCCCAGGCCAGGCAUUUCGACAUCACACACUUUUUUUUUUUUAAACAAUUUUAUUUAUUUAUUUGAGAGGUAGAGUUAUAGACAGAGAAAGGGAGAAAGAGAGAGCAAGGUCUUCUUUCUGUGGUUUACUCCCCAGGUGGCUGCAACAGCUGGAGCUGCGCUGAUCUGAACCCAGGAGCCAGGAACUCCCUCUGAGUCUUCCCUUGCGGGUGCAGGGCCCAAGGACUUGGGCCAUCUUCUACUGCUUUCCCAGACCACAGCAGAGAGCUGGAUUGGAAGAGGAGCAGCCAGGACUCCAAUGGGCGCCCAUAUGGGACGCCAGCACUGCAGGCAGAGGCUUAGCCCACUAUGCCACAGCGCUGGCCCCUCUCUUCCUCUUCCUAUGGAGCCACUGUUAGCACCCCACCUUCAUGAUCUCAUCUAACCCCGAAUUCUUCCCAAGGGCCCGCCUCCAAAUACCACUAACACAUGGAGCUGGGGAUGAGCGUCCAGCACGUAACUCUGGGGGCCAGCGGCAGACAACAGCAGCGUCUUAUUUCCGGUUCCUUAAGUUGCAGCAGGCCUGAGGCCAUCAGCAAGAAGGGUUUGGUCCUCCCAGUGGUUCUCAGGUGCCUGGUAGAUGUCAGGCCUACUGCAAACACCGUUCAGUGUCAGGGAGAUGGUUUUCAGGAUGCGGGGCCUGAACUGAAGCCCCACAGCGGUUCCUUGUCUCUAAAGUGAGGUUAAGAGCACAACACAGCAUUCUGGGAGAAGCUUGGGACACACGCUGGCCUUGCCCCUCACCCCGGCCUGUGGUUGGACGCCUUGCUCUUUGCAAAGACCCAAUUUCUUUAUCGUAAGAAGGCUGCCGCGCCGCGCUCCAAGGAAUGACCCACUUAAAGACAAUUGCUUCCUUCUGAUGGAUUAAAUGAAGAACCAUUUAAAACCACAGCCCAGCGAGCAAGAGCGAGAGGCUGCAGAGGAGAGAGCAGGUGAGGCGCUGUGCACCUGCACGAGGAAGCUGUGAGCUGGGACAAGCUCCAGGCGUGCACGGGCGGCCUCGGCAGCCAAUCCGAUUGCAGGACGCACCUGUGUAUCUCUGCUGACCUAAAGCGGCUGUCACAAAGCAGAACUUCAAAAACAGACAUCGUAAUUACAAAGCCCCCAGGGACUGGCCUCGCUGCAAGAUGCUUUGUCUUUCUGACCCUCCGACCGCUCUGUUUCACUGCAAACUCAAUACCCAUGGCCUUGGCUUCUGCUGCGCACGCUUCUUUCUGAGUACAUUUUUUAUGUGAAGUUGGCAAGAAGGGAAUUUCUCACUGAGCCGUGUUUCCAGCACACCCCAGGGUUCAUGUUGGAUUUGGCUGGAAAUGUUCGGAACCAGGAAACAAUUAGAUGUAGGGGUAUUUCGAUCCAACAAGGAUUGGCUGGGGCCCUUCUGAUGUUUCUAGCACUGGUUUGAUGCUGCGGGUACACAGGCGACUAAGAAUGGGUUUCUGUCUCCCAGGUAAUAAACUACCAUUGGUUGAAGGUGUUCUUGUGCCAAGGGGCUUUGCAAAAGUUAGUGCUGUUCCUUACAAAAACCUAGCAAGGUAGAUACCGUGAGGAAUAACAGGAUCAAGAAGGUGAAGUUGGCCGGCGCCGCGGCUCACUAGGCUAAUCCUCCGCCUAGCGGCGCCGGCACACCGGGUUCUAGUCCCGGUUGGGGCGCCGGAUUCUGUCCCGGUUGCCCCUCUUCCAGGCCAGCUCUCUGCUGUGGCCAGGGAGUACAGUGGAGGAUGACCCAGGUGCUUGGGCCCUGCACCCCAUGGGAGACCAGGAAAAGCACCUGGCUCCUGGCUCCUGCCAUCGGAUCAGCGCGGUGCACCGGCCGCAGCGCGCUGGCCGCGGCGGCCAUUGGAGGGUGAACCAACGGCAAAGGAAGACCUUUCUCUCUGUCUCUCUCUCUCACUGUCCACUCUGCCUGUCAAAAAAAAAAAAAAAAAAAAAAAAAGAA
This is a non-coding RNA of Oryctolagus cuniculus (rabbit), 11395 nucleotides long. NCBI's taxonomy places the organism in Eukaryota, Metazoa, Chordata, Mammalia, Lagomorpha, Leporidae. The record is from RefSeq and is a predicted model, not a curated record.